This is an RNA transcript of Panicum virgatum (switchgrass), 2341 nucleotides long. It is a transcript of the gene named glucuronokinase 1-like, with no coding region annotated. Lineage: Eukaryota; Viridiplantae; Streptophyta; Magnoliopsida; Poales; Poaceae. The record is from RefSeq and is a predicted model, not a curated record. The transcript is spliced from 10 exons.
UGCUGAGAUGCCGAGGAACGGAUCACUGUCCGGCGAGUCCUGCGCUCCUGCCGUCCGCAUGCCCCAGCCAGUGCUCCGUGAGAUCUACGAGCUCGGCGUUCGUGCGGGUGCCGCCCGACGGUGGCACGCGAGGUCUCCGCGCCAGGCGUUCGCGCGGUUGCCGGCAGUCGCGAGGACGCCAGGCUCGGCUUUGCCACUGGCAGGAGGCGCGAAUCCACUGGCAGGGUGGGCCUUGUACGGCCGCCGUGUAUGGCCCAUCCGGCCCACCCUUUAGCUCCGCCCAUGGCGCUGCAGCCCUCUACCUGCGCCGCCCCUGCCGACUCCCGCCGACGGCACUGCUCGCGGUCCCGCAGCCGACGCCGCCCCUGCCCUCUCCCGCUGCAGACGCCGCCGCACCUGACCUGCCUUCUCCUGCCGCCGCCCCUGCCCUCCGCUCCUACCCCGCCUGCCUCCGGAUCUGCGCCGACCUUCCCUCCCCUGACGUCGCCUGGGAUCCGGAUCCGCGUUUUCCUACCUCCCCCCGACACCGCCUGCCUCUGGAGCCGCGCCGUCGCCCCUGCACUUGCCCUGACGCCGCCUGCCUCUCCUUACUAAAUGACGGCGGCAACGAAGGCGGAGAUGGGAUUUGAGCGGCAUGCCUAUGCGAGGGUGGGGCUCCUUGGCAACCCCAGCGACGUGUACAACGGCAAGGCACUCUCCUUCACCAUCACUGACUUCUCCGCCACUGUCCGCCUCCGCCCAUCGCCCGAGCUGCUCAUCCAACCGCACCCGCACCAUGAUCUUGUCGCCUUCCCCUCCCUGCCCCACCUCCGAGAGGAUUAUCACUGCUGCCUCAAGAUUGGGGUCCCUAAACAUGUAGAGGUAUGGCACUUCCAAUUCAUGCAACAAAUAGGCAUUACUUACAACCAAAAGAACAAGAGGAAAGCUGCAAGACUUUUUGAUCUGAUAAUCAGAAGCUGCAGCAGUGCUUACCUUACCUCCAAGGUGAGUCGUUUGCAAAAUGAAGGAUACUAUGGAGGUGUUCGGCUGCUGAUGGCUAUCUGUAAAGUUUUCUACAAUCACUGUAUUCAAAAUAAUAUCAGUCUAAAAGCUGAAAAUUUCACCUUAUCAUACGAUACUAAUAUUCCUCGGCAGGCUGGGCUAUCUGGUUCAAGCGCGAUUGCUUGUGCUGCUCUAAACUGCCUUCUUGACUUCUAUGAUGUCAGGCAUUUAAUAAAAGUUGAAUUGAGACCUAAUCUGAUUCUCGAUGCUGAGAAAGAGCUUGGAAUUGUUGCUGGACUUCAGGACCGUGUGGCACAGGUUUAUGGGGGACUGGUUUAUAUGGAUUUUAGCCAAGAGCAUAUGGACAAGCUGGGUCAUGGCAUAUACAGACCUUUGGAUGUCAAUCUGCUUCCUCCUCUAUACCUCAUCUAUGCAGAGAACCCCAGUGACUCUGGCAAGGUCCACAGCAGUGUUAGGCAAAGAUGGCUUAAUGGUGAUGAGUUUAUAAUAUCAUGUAUGAAGGAAGUAGCGCAGCUAGCGCUUGAUGGCCACAGGGCUUUGCUGCAGAAGGAUUGUACUGAGCUUGCACGGCUUAUGAAUAGGAACUUUGAUCUGCGAAGGGAAAUGUUUGGAGAUGAUGUACUUGGAUCCGUGAACAUAAAGAUGGUGGAGGUGGCACGCAGCGUUGGUGCGUCAUCCAAGUUCACUGGCAGCGGGGGCGCGGUGGUUGCUCUGUGCCCAGAUGGUGAAGCGCAGGCGGAGCUUCUCCACAAGGCUUGCCAAGAGGCUGGCUUUGUGGUACAGAAGAUCAAAGUUGCACCCUCGGUGCUGUCGGAUGAGGAGUUGACAAGCUUAUCAACUUGCUAGUCCUGUUGAGUGGUUGAAGCUACUGUUCCAUUUCGGAGAAAAUGAAAAAAAAACAGAAACCAGCACUGGAAAGGAGAUGUCCGUACUAGUAUCUGAGGGGUAGCACGGGUAGAUCAAAUUGCUUACUCUCAAUCAUGAGCAAUGAAACCGACAGGAACUAGGAGCUGCUGUGAUGAUUCUUUGCAAUCUGGGAGCUUUUUCACUAGCUCAUUGCACACACAUACUCUCUUUUGAAUAUACUGAGCUCAGAAAGGAGAUGGACAGAUGGUGUAGCAGGGUGUUGUUGCUGGUCUCCUGGUCCUGAAUGCUCUGAAAUAUCUGUUGAAGUUUGGAUAAGUUAGGAUCACAUCUUCUAUUUUGUUUGGUUUGUAAGUUGUAACACUAUGAGUGCUGCUACUAUUAAAUAUUGUACAAAUGUACGGGAUGGUGAAAAAUGCAUUGUUCUAAUGGUUUUACCUAAUUGGAACUAAUUGGCUUUUGUACCCUACUGUGA